Long non-coding RNA from Prunus dulcis (almond), 394 nucleotides. RefSeq lists it as uncharacterized. NCBI's taxonomy places the organism in Eukaryota, Viridiplantae, Streptophyta, Magnoliopsida, Rosales, Rosaceae. The transcript is spliced from 4 exons. The record is from RefSeq and is a predicted model, not a curated record.
CAUUGUUGAGUCCAUUCACCGAUCCCUCCAGGAAAAAGAGGAAGGUUACUGAUUUGCAUGCACAGACACCUCAGCCCCGUUUUGAUCCAACAAAACCCGUGGCCAUGGACGAUGUGAAGGCUAUCAUACAACUUUGCAGGGCUUGGAAAACUGACAUCAGUGCGGAGCUGGAGCUCGAACCAUUUGAAGUUGGGGCAGAUUUUUUUUUACAAACUGUUAGAUGAAACUGCAUGGAUGAGCUCGAGGCACCUUGACAUGGCCAUGUUUCUAAUACGCAAAAGACAACUCUCUCAUCCGCAACUAUUUGGAAGGGAGUGGACAACCGCCGAGUUUUGUCUGCAGCAAUUUUUACAGCCGUUUGCAAUGCCAAGUGGGAAACGAGUCACGAGGAAAC